Molecule: ribosomal RNA, 477 nt
Filed under: uncultured bacterium
Lineage: Bacteria
Description: partial 16S ribosomal RNA
Rfam family: Bacterial small subunit ribosomal RNA
Source: RNAcentral
GAUUAACGCUGGCGGCGUGCAUAACACAUGCAAGUCGAACGAUGAAACUUUAAUGAACCCUUCGGGGAGAAUUAAAGCGGAUUAGUGGCGAACGGGUGAGUAACGCGUGAGUAACCUGCCUUACACAAGGGGAUAGCCUUUGGAAACGAAGAAUAAUACCCUAUAAAACCAUAAAAGCACAUGCAAUUAUGGUCAAAGUGAUAGCGGUGUAAGAUGGACUUGCGUCUGAUUAGCUAGUUGGUGAGAUAAAAGCCCACCAAGGCAACGAUCAGUAGCCGGCUUGAGAGAGUGUACGGCAACAUUGGGACUGAGACACGGCCCAGACUCCUACGGGAGGCAGCAGUGGGGAAUUUUGCACAAUGGGGGAAACCCUGAUGCAGCGACGCCGCGUGAUUUAGAAGGCCUUCGGGUUGUAAAAAUCUUUUGUAUAGGAAGAAAAUGACAGUACUAUACGAAUAAGGUCCGGCUAAUUACGUG